GUAGGUGGCAAGCGUUGUCCGGAACUAUUGGGCGUAAAGCGCGCGCAGGCGGUUCUUUAAGUCUGAUGUGAAAGCCCACGGCUCAACCGUGGAGGGUCAUUGGAAACUGGAGAACUUGAGUACAGAAGAGGAAAGCGGAAUUCCACGUGUAGCGGUGAAAUGCGUAGAGAUGUGGAGGAACACCAGUGGCGAAGGCGGCUUUCUGGUCUGUAACUGACGCUGAGGCGCGAAAGCGUGGGGGGAGCAAACAGGAUUAGAUACCCUGGUAGUCCACGCCGUAAACGAUGAGUGCUAAGUGUUAGGGGGUUUCCGCCCCUUAGUGCUGCAGCUAACGCAUUAAGCACUCCGCCUGGGAGUACGGCCGCAAGGCUG
RNAcentral lists this ribosomal RNA (372 nucleotides) under uncultured organism. Its description in RNAcentral is "partial 16S ribosomal RNA". It matches the Rfam family "Bacterial small subunit ribosomal RNA", at positions 527 to 896 of the family's 1533-position model. The record is from RNAcentral.